RNAcentral lists this long non-coding RNA (207 nucleotides) under Ananas comosus (pineapple). RNAcentral describes it as "long non-coding RNA (ACOM_LNC044836)". The record is from RNAcentral. Lineage: Eukaryota; Viridiplantae; Streptophyta; Magnoliopsida; Poales; Bromeliaceae.
GCAUAGCUUAGGGGUAUAGGGAAGAGAGGAAAGAACAAAAUUGUAAUAAAUUUGUAAUAAGCUGAUCGUAUUUGGAAGUUGAAUGUAAAUGUGAUGUAGAAUGAGCCGAAUGCUUGUAUAGCUUAGGGUUUUAUAUUUUUGAUACCUUCCUUAUACAAUCGAUGUAUGAAUAUUGUUCCUGUUUGGAACCGUUUGUAUUGUAUAAUU